UAGGGAAUAUUGGACAAUGGGUGAGAGCCUGAUCCAGCCAUGCCUCGUGCAGGAAGAAGGCGUUAUGCGUUGUAAACUGCUUUUUGCCAGGGGAUAAAAAGACCGUGCGCGGUUAAUUGAAGGUACAUGGUGAAUAAGCCACGGCUAACUACGUGCCAGCAGCCGCGGUAAUACGUAGGUGGCAAGCGUUGUCCGGAUUUAUUGGGUUUAAAGGGUGCGUAGGUGGCCCUGUAAGUCAGUGGUGAAAUAUCUCAGCUUAACUGAGAGGCUGCCAUUGAUACUGCAGGGCUUGAGUACAGAUGAGGUAGGCGGAAUUGACGGUGUAGCGGUGAAAUGCAUAGAUAUCGUCAAGAACACCGAUAGCGAAGGCAGCUUACCAAGCUGUAACUGACACUGAGGCACGAAAGUGUGGGGAUCAAACAGGAUUAGAUACCCAAGUAGUCCCUGAGCGGGCUGGCAAGGCGCAU
RNAcentral lists this ribosomal RNA (467 nucleotides) under uncultured bacterium. RNAcentral describes it as "bacterial SSU rRNA". It matches the Rfam family "Bacterial small subunit ribosomal RNA", at positions 355 to 825 of the family's 1533-position model. The record is from RNAcentral.